UAGGGAAUAUUGGUCAAUGGAGGAAACUCUGAACCAGCCAUGCCGCGUGAAGGAUGAAGGCUUUCUGAGUCGUAAACUUCUUUUAUAUAGGAAGAAAAAGCCAUGCGUGGUUAUAUGACGGUACUAUAUGAAUAAGCACCGGCUAACUCCGUGCCAGCAGCCGCGGUAAUACGGAGGGUGCAAGCGUUGUCCGGAAUUAUUGGGUUUAAAGGGUGCGUAGGCGGACUAAUAAGUCAGAGGUGAAAUCCUGCAGCUUAACUGUAGAACUGCCUUUGAUACUGUUAGUCUUGAGUAAAGUAUAGGUAGGCGGAAUUUAUGGUGUAGCGGUGAAAUGCAUAGAUACCAUAAAGAACACCGAUAGCGAAGGCAGCUUACUGGACUUUUACUGACGCUGAGGCACGAAAGCGUGGGUAGCGAACGGG
RNAcentral lists this ribosomal RNA (422 nucleotides) under uncultured bacterium. RNAcentral describes it as "bacterial SSU rRNA". It matches the Rfam family "Bacterial small subunit ribosomal RNA", at positions 355 to 776 of the family's 1533-position model. The record is from RNAcentral.